This 477-nucleotide ribosomal RNA is filed under the name uncultured bacterium. Its description in RNAcentral is "bacterial SSU rRNA". It matches the Rfam family "Bacterial small subunit ribosomal RNA", at positions 36 to 518 of the family's 1533-position model. The record is from RNAcentral.
CUGGCGGCGUGCCUAACACAUGCAAGUCGAACGAAGCACUUGGCUGAUCCUCGGUGAUGCCUUGUGACUGAGUGGCGGACGGGUGAGUAACGCGUGGGUAACCUGCCCUGUACAGGGGGAUAACAGCCAGAAAUGGCUGCUAAUACCGCAUAAGCGCACGGAAGGACAUCCUUCAGUGUGAAAAAACUCCGGUGGUACAGGAUGGGCCCGCGUCUGAUUAGCUUGUUGGCGGGUAAAGGCCCACCAAGGCGACGAUCAGUAGCCGGUCUGAGAGGAUGAACGGCCACAUUGGAACUGAGACACGGUCCAAACUCCUACGGGAGGCAGCAGUGGGGAAUAUUGGCACAAUGGGGAAACCCUGAUGCAGCCAACGCCGCGUGAGUGAAGAAGUAUUUCGGUAUGUAAAGCUCUAUCAGCAGGGAAGAUAAUGACGGUACCUGACUAAGAAGCUCCGGCUAAAUACGUGCCAGCCGCCGC